RNAcentral lists this ribosomal RNA (450 nucleotides) under uncultured bacterium. RNAcentral's name for it is "bacterial SSU rRNA". It matches the Rfam family "Bacterial small subunit ribosomal RNA", at positions 29 to 524 of the family's 1533-position model. The record is from RNAcentral.
AGCGAACGCUGGCGGCAGGCCUAAAACAUGCAAGUCGAACGGAUCCUUCGGGAUUAGUGGCGGACGGGUGAGUAACACGUGGGAACGUGCCUUUUGGUUCGGAACAACUCAGGGAAACUUGAGCUAAUACCGAAUGUGCCCUUCGGGGAAAGAUUUAUCGCCAUUAGAGCGGCCCGCGUCUGAUUAGCUUGUUGGUGAGGUAAAGGCUCACCAAGGCGACGAUCAGUAGCUGGUCUGAGAGGAUGAUCAGCCACACUGGGACUGAGACACGGCCCAGACUCCUACGGGAGGCAGCAGUUAGGAAUCUUGCGCAAUGGGGGAAACCCUGACGCAGCCAUGCCGCGUGAAUGAUGAAGGUCUUAGGAUUGUAAAAUUCUUUCAGCGGGGACGAUAAUGACGGUACCCGCAGAAGAAGCCCCGGCUAAACUUCGUGCCAGCAGCCGCGGUAAU